Molecule: ribosomal RNA, 325 nt
Filed under: Colletotrichum siamense
Lineage: Eukaryota; Fungi; Ascomycota; Sordariomycetes; Glomerellales; Glomerellaceae
Description: partial large subunit ribosomal RNA
Rfam family: Eukaryotic large subunit ribosomal RNA
Source: RNAcentral
CCGGCCAGAGACCGAUAGCGCACAAGUAGAGUGAUCGAAAGAUGAAAAGCACUUUGAAAAGAGGGUUAAACAGCACGUGAAAUUGUUAAAAGGGAAGCGCUUGUGACCAGACUUGCGUCCGGUGAAUCACCCAGCUCUCGCGGCUGGGGCACUUCGCCGGCUCAGGCCAGCAUCAGCUCGCUGUCGGGGACAAAAGCUUCAGGAACGUAGCUCUCUUCGGGGAGUGUUAUAGCCUGUUGCAUAAUACCCUUCGGCGGGCUGAGGUACGCGCUCCGCAAGGAUGCUGGCAUAAUGGUCAUCAGCGACCCGUCUUGAAACACGGACC